This is a long non-coding RNA of Manduca sexta (tobacco hornworm), 1334 nucleotides long. RefSeq lists it as uncharacterized. Lineage: Eukaryota; Metazoa; Arthropoda; Insecta; Lepidoptera; Sphingidae. The transcript is spliced from 2 exons. The record is from RefSeq and is a predicted model, not a curated record.
UUUGACAGCUGUCACAGGGCUUAUUAGUCAUCUGUAAUUUUCCGUAAUGUAGGUACAUAUUUUGGUACAUAUUAUAGAGAUAAUUGAACAUUAUUUAUCUCUAAGGUAUUUCUAUAUAAUGCUCUAAUGUAUUUGAUUCUGAAGUUCUUUAUCUUAAAUUUUACAAAGCUUAGGUCAGCAGCAGCGGUCUUUCAAGAAGCAUUUACAAUUCUACUGGGUUCAAUUGAAAUACCUAUUUUAUUUUUUUUAUGUUGCAGAGCUGCUAAGAGAAUAUAACCGCUUUCGUUAACCCAGACCUACCUUACAGAUUUCUAUUUGUUUCCUAGAAUUUUUACUAAGAUGAAUGUCACUGCUUACUAAUUUAUAAAAAUCGUUUGUAAUAUUUGCUAUUACUACUGGAUUUGGGAAAUCACUGAUAACCUAAGAAGUUUUUAUUACAAACGUCAUUGCUGAUAACGAAGAAAAAAAUAACAAAAAAAAUAUGUAAACAUCUAAAAUUAUGUGAAAAUACUAUGGUUUCGACUGCAUACAUCCAUAUUGUCAGAUCAAUGCUGGUUGUAGACCAAUAGACCCCAGAAAUUAUUCAGUUAUUGCAUAAUCGUCUGUGAGCUAUGCUAAACUAUAUAACUUAGCUUAAUUCUUGGGCUAUAAUUGGCAUGAACACAAAUUUUCACUAUGCUUGCAUAGAUAAUGUCUUUUUUUCAGUUAUCACAGAACAUGCAAAGUAUUACAAUAAAUUGCUGGUACAGUAUAUUUCUGGAUGCUUACACAUACUCAACUAAUUAUUUACUUUUUAGUCUUAUGGUUGUUAUUACAUCAAUUCUAUUGUUAUGGAUUUAUGAAAGGCCACGGUUGUACAAGGUAAUCUAAUACUAACUUCAAAACAAAAUUUUAAUUUAAACAAUUUGAGGGGUUUUAUGUAACUAUAUUUAGCUUUUAUUUAGAAAAGCUUUAUUGUUAUGAUAGCUUGGUUAAACUAAGAAAUGCAUAUUUGUUGUAGUUAAUAUUCAAAAGAAGCAAACAUUCAAAUAUCUUAAGUCCUAUGCUAAGCAAUGAAAAUGUUGGCUCUAAUUACCCACAAACAUUUGUCACUGGUGAUAUACCAGUACACACAGAAACAUCAGAGGUAACCAAGGAUAAUGAAUAGCCAAUGAAAAGAAACUAAUCUCUUCAUACUACUCAGUCAAAAAAAAAAUUGUGCAUUUCUGUCAAAAAAUAUUUGCCAUGGAUUUCUUUCAUUGUUCCUCCAAAUAUUUAUAUUUUUUAUUAUUAAAACUGUAAUUCUUAUUAAAUAUUUUCCUGUUAUUCUGAAUAUAACAGAUUACUUCAAUAUA